GCCCGAUUAGCUCAGCUGGUUAGAGCGUCGUACUAAUAUUAUUCCCUUAAAAAAGGAGAAAUAUCAAGUCCAUGCGAAGGUCAACAGUUCAAUCCUGUUAUUGGGCA
This is a non-coding RNA of Podospora australis, 107 nucleotides long. Lineage: Eukaryota; Fungi; Ascomycota; Sordariomycetes; Sordariales; Podosporaceae. The record is from the annotation of a GenBank genome assembly.